Molecule: ribosomal RNA, 250 nt
Filed under: uncultured Chroococcidiopsis sp.
Lineage: Bacteria; Bacillati; Cyanobacteriota; Cyanophyceae; Chroococcidiopsidales; Chroococcidiopsidaceae
Description: partial 16S ribosomal RNA
Rfam family: Bacterial small subunit ribosomal RNA
Source: RNAcentral
CUAGCUGUAAACGAUGGAUACUAGGCGUUGAGAGUAUCGACCCUCUCAGUGUCGUAGCUAACGCGUUAAGUAUCCCGCCUGGGGAGUACGCGCGCAAGCGUGAAAUUCAAAGGAAUUGACGGGGGCCCGCACAAGCGGUGGAGUAUGUGGUUUAAUUCGAUGCAACGCGAAGAACCUUACCAGGGCUUGACAUGUCCGGAACCCUGCCCAAAGGCGGGGGUGCCUACGGGAACCGGAACACAGGUGGUGC